AUUGAACGCUGGCGGCAUGCCUUACACAUGCAAGUCGAACGGCAGCACGGGUGCUUGCACCUGGUGGCGAGUGGCGAACGGGUGAGUAAUACAUCGGAACGUACCUUAUCGUGGGGGAUAACGCAGCGAAAGCUGUGCUAAUAUCGCAUACGCCCUGAGGGGGAAAGCGGGGGAUCGCAAGACCUCGCGCGAUUAGAGCGGCCGAUGCCUGAUUAGCUUGUUGGUGGGGUAAAAGCCCACCAAGGCGACGAUCAGUAGCUGGUCUGAGAGGACGAUCAACCCCACUGGGACGGAGACACGGCCCAGACUCCUACGGGGGGCAGCAGUGGGGAAUUUUGGACAAUGGGGGCAACCCUGAUCCAGCAAUGCCGCGUGAGUGAAGAAGGCCUUCGGGUUGUAAAGCUCUUUUGUCAGGGAAGAAACACCGGCUCUAACACAGUCUGGGAAUGACGGUACCUGAAGAAUAAGCACCGGCUAACUACGUGCCAGCAGCCGCGGUAA
RNAcentral lists this ribosomal RNA (501 nucleotides) under uncultured bacterium. Its description in RNAcentral is "partial 16S ribosomal RNA". It matches the Rfam family "Bacterial small subunit ribosomal RNA", at positions 29 to 523 of the family's 1533-position model. The record is from RNAcentral.